This 497-nucleotide ribosomal RNA is filed under the name uncultured bacterium. RNAcentral's name for it is "partial 16S ribosomal RNA". It matches the Rfam family "Bacterial small subunit ribosomal RNA", at positions 28 to 507 of the family's 1533-position model. The record is from RNAcentral.
GAUGAACGCUGGCGGCGUGCCUAAUACAUGCAAGUCGAGCGAACAGACGAGGAGCUUGCUCCUCUGACGUUAGCGGCGGACGGGUGAGUAACACGUGGAUAACCUACCUAUAAUACUGGGAUAACUUCGGGAAACCGGAGCUAAUCCCGGAUAAUAUAUUGAACCGCAUGGUUCAAUAGUGAAAGACGGUUUUGCUGUCACUUAUAGAUGGAUCCGCGCCGCAUUAGCUAGUUGGUAAGUUAACGGCUUACCAAGGCGACGAUGCGUAGCCGACCUGAGAGGGUGAUCGGCCACACUGGAACUGAGACACGGUCCAGACUCCUACGGGAGGCAGCAGUAGGGAAUCUUCCGCAAUGGGCGAAAGCCUGACGGAGCAACGCCGCGUGAGUGAUGAAGGUCUUCGGAUCGUAAAACUCUGUUAUUAGGGAAGAACAAAUGUGUAAGUAACUAUGCACGUCUUGACGGUACCUAAUCAGAAAGCCACGGCUAACUACGUG